AUUGAACGCUGGCGGAAUGCUUUACACAUGCAAGUCGAACGGCAGCACGGGUGCUUGCACCUGGUGGCGAGUGGCGAACGGGUGAGUAAUACAUCGGAACGUACCCUGACGUGGGGGAUAACGUAGCGAAAGUUACGCUAAUACCGCAAACGUCCUGAGGGAGAAAGCAGGGGAUCGUAAGACCUUGCGCGUUAGGAGCGGCCGAUGGCGGAUUAGCUAGUUGGUAGGGUAAAGGCCUACCAAGGCGACGAUCCGUAGCGGGUCUGAGAGGACGAGCCGCCACUCUGGAACUGAGACACGGUCCAGACUCCUACGGGAGGCAGCAGUGGGGAAUUUUGGACAAUGGGCGAAAGCCUGAUCCAGCCAUUCCGCGUGAGUGAAGGAGGCCUUCGGGUUGUAAAGCCCUUUCGGCAGGGAAGAAACGGUUUUGGAUAAUACCCAGAACUAAUGACGGUACCUGAAGAAGAAGCACCGGCUAACUACGUGCCAGCAGCCGCGGUAA
Molecule: ribosomal RNA, 502 nt
Filed under: uncultured bacterium
Lineage: Bacteria
Description: partial 16S ribosomal RNA
Rfam family: Bacterial small subunit ribosomal RNA
Source: RNAcentral